This 301-nucleotide ribosomal RNA is filed under the name uncultured bacterium. RNAcentral's name for it is "partial 16S ribosomal RNA". It matches the Rfam family "Bacterial small subunit ribosomal RNA", at positions 509 to 809 of the family's 1533-position model. The record is from RNAcentral.
CAGCCGCCGCGGGAAUACGAAGGGUGCAAGCGUUAAUCGGAAUUACUGGGCGUAAAGCGUGCGUAGGCGGUGAGUUAAGUCUGCUGUGAAAUCCCCGGGCUCAACCUGGGAAUGGCAGUGGAUACUGGCUCGCUAGAGUGUGUCAGAGGAUGGUGGAAUUCCCGGUGUAGCGGUGAAAUGCGUAGAGAUCGGGAGGAACAUCAGUGGCGAAGGCGGCCAUCUGGGACAACACUGACGCUGAGGCACGAAAGCGUGGGGAGCAAACAGGAUUAGAUACCCCCGUAGUCCCUGUCUCUUAUAA